GCUGGCAUAGCUCAAUUGGUAGAGCAACUGACUUGUAAUCAGUAGGUUGAGGGUUCAAUUCCUUUUGCCAGCUCCA
This 76-nucleotide transfer RNA is filed under the name Acholeplasmataceae bacterium. Its description in RNAcentral is "tRNA-Thr". It matches the Rfam family "tRNA". Rfam says of the family: Transfer RNA (tRNA) molecules are approximately 80 nucleotides in length. Their secondary structure includes four short double-helical elements and three loops (D, anti-codon, and T loops). Further hydrogen bonds mediate the characteristic L-shaped molecular structure. tRNAs have two regions of fundamental functional importance: the anti-codon, which is responsible for specific mRNA codon recognition, and the 3' end, to which the tRNAs corresponding amino acid is attached (by aminoacyl-tRNA synthetases). tRNAs cope with the degeneracy of the genetic code in two manners: having more than one tRNA (with a specific anti-codon) for a particular amino acid; and 'wobble' base-pairing, i.e. permitting non-standard base-pairing at the 3rd anti-codon position. The record is from RNAcentral. Lineage: Bacteria; Bacillati; Mycoplasmatota; Mollicutes; Acholeplasmatales; Acholeplasmataceae. RNAcentral also lists the same sequence under 2 other names.